This 454-nucleotide ribosomal RNA is filed under the name uncultured bacterium. Its description in RNAcentral is "bacterial SSU rRNA". It matches the Rfam family "Bacterial small subunit ribosomal RNA", at positions 369 to 793 of the family's 1533-position model. The record is from RNAcentral.
GUACGGGGGAAACCCUGAUGCAGCCAUGCCGCGUGUGUGAAGAAGCCGUUCGGGUUGUAAAGCACUUUCAGUAGGGAGGAAGGUAGUGUAGUUAACACCUGCAUUAUUUGACGUUACCUACAGAAGAAGCACCGGCUAACUCCGUGCCAGCAGCCGCGGUAAUACGGAGGGUGCGAGCGUUAAUCGGAAUUACGUGGGACGUAAAGACGCAUGCAGGCGGCCUGUUAAGUCAGAUGUAGAAAGGACCCGGGGACCGUUUAACCGUACCGGUAAAGUUGCUAUUUAGUAAACGUAGGCGAGGCUAGAGUCUUGUAGAGGGGGUAGGAAUUUCAGGUGUAGCGGUGAAAUGCGUAGAGAUCUGAAGGAAUACCAGUGGCGAAGGCGGCCCCCUGGACAAAGACUGACGCUCAGAUGCGAAAGCGUGGGGAGCAAACAGGAUUAGAUACCCUGGUAG